Molecule: ribosomal RNA, 234 nt
Filed under: uncultured bacterium
Lineage: Bacteria
Description: partial 16S ribosomal RNA
Rfam family: Bacterial small subunit ribosomal RNA
Source: RNAcentral
CGGACGGGUGAGUAACGCGUGGAUAACCUGCCUCACACUGGGGGAUAACAGUUAGAAAUGGCUGCUAAUACCGCAUAAGCGCACAGUACCGCAUGGUACGGUGUGAAAAACCCAGGUGGUGUGAGAUGGAUCCGCGUCUGAUUAGCCAGUUGGCGGGGUAACGGCCCACCAAAGCGACGAUCAGUAGCCGACCUGAGAGGGGACCGGCCACAUUGGGACUGAGACACGGCCCAA